CCCCUGGUGGUCCAGUGGCUAAGACUUUACACUCCUAAUGCAGGAGGCCUGGGUUCAAUCCCUGGUCAGGGAA
Non-coding RNA from Bos taurus (domestic cattle), 73 nucleotides. NCBI's taxonomy places the organism in Eukaryota, Metazoa, Chordata, Mammalia, Artiodactyla, Bovidae. The record is from Rfam.